UACGUAGGUGGCAAGCGUUGUCCGGAAUUAUUGGGCGUAAAGCGCGCGUAGGCGGCUUUGCAAGUCGGAUGUGAAAUCCCCAGGCUCAACUUGGGAACUGCAUCCGAUACUGGAUGGCUUGAAUACGGGAGAGGGAUGCAGAAUUCCAGGUGUAGCGGUGAAAUGCGUAGAUAUCUGGAGGAAUACCGGUGGCGAAGGCGGCAUCCUGGACCGACAUUGACGCUGAGGAGCGAAAGCUAGGGGAGCAAACGGG
Molecule: ribosomal RNA, 253 nt
Filed under: uncultured bacterium
Lineage: Bacteria
Description: partial 16S ribosomal RNA
Rfam family: Bacterial small subunit ribosomal RNA
Source: RNAcentral